UUGAUAGAGGCGCGGAGACGAUGAGUACCCACCAGAGCCGGCAGGCUGUGAGGGUGGGGAAAGGCACAUUCGCCGAACUGCCUGCGCAGGCGUGCGCGGGUGGUGGGUCUGCGGUGAACAGCCGCAGGACUGUCUGCAAUGUAUU
RNAcentral lists this non-coding RNA (145 nucleotides) under chicken gut metagenome. RNAcentral's name for it is "Lysine riboswitch". It matches the Rfam family "Lysine riboswitch aptamer", at positions 5 to 158 of the family's 182-position model. Rfam says of the family: Riboswitches are metabolite binding domains within certain messenger RNAs that serve as precision sensors for their corresponding targets. Allosteric rearrangement of mRNA structure is mediated by ligand binding, and this results in modulation of gene expression. The record is from RNAcentral.